This 399-nucleotide ribosomal RNA is filed under the name uncultured bacterium. Its description in RNAcentral is "bacterial SSU rRNA". It matches the Rfam family "Archaeal small subunit ribosomal RNA", at positions 339 to 742 of the family's 1478-position model. The record is from RNAcentral.
GGACGAAAACUUUACAAUGCGGGAAACCGUGAUAAGGGAACCCCGAGUGCCCGUAGAAUCGGGCUGUUGGUCUGUGUAAAAAGCAGGUAAAGAAAGGGCCGGGCAAGACCGGUGCCAGCCGCCGCGGUAAUACCGGCGGCUCGAGUGGUGGCCACUAUUACUGGGCUUAAAGCGUUCGUAGCUGGGUUGUUAAGUCUCUUGGGAAAUCCACCGGCUCAACCGAUGGGCGACCAGGGGAAACUGGCAUUCUAGGGACCGGGAGAGGUGAGAGGUACUCCAGGGGUAGGAGUGAAAUCCUGUAAUCCUUGGGGGACCACCGAUGGCGAAGGCAUCUCACCAGAACGGCUCCGACAGUGAGGAACGAAAGCUGGGGGAGCAAACCGGAUUAGAAACCCCGGU